Molecule: ribosomal RNA, 730 nt
Filed under: Streptomyces enissocaesilis
Lineage: Bacteria; Bacillati; Actinomycetota; Actinomycetes; Kitasatosporales; Streptomycetaceae
Description: bacterial SSU rRNA
Rfam family: Bacterial small subunit ribosomal RNA
Source: RNAcentral
CACUGGGACUGAGACACGGCCCAGACUCGUACGGGAGGCAGCAGUGGGGAAUAUUGCACAAUGGGCGAAAGCCUGAUGCAGCGACGCCGCGUGAGGGAUGACGGCCUUCGGGUUGUAAACCUCUUUCAGCAGGGAAGAAGCGAAAGUGACGGUACCUGCAGAAGAAGCGCCGGCUAACUACGUGCCAGCAGCCGCGGUAAUACGUAGGGCGCAAGCGUUGUCCGGAAUUAUUGGGCGUAAAGAGCUCGUAGGCGGCUUGUCACGUCGGUUGUGAAAGCCCGGGGCUUAACCCCGGGUCUGCAGUCGAUACGGGCAGGAUAGAGUUCGGUAGGGGAGAUCGGAAUUCCUGGUGUAGCGGUGAAAUGCGCAGAUAUCAGGAGGAACACCGGUGGCGAAGGCGGAUUUGUGGGCCGAUACUGACGCUGAGGAGCGAAAGCGUGGGGAGCGAACAGGAUUAGAUACCCUGGUAGUCCACGCCGUAAACGGUGGGCACUAGGUGUGGGCAACAUUACACGUUGUCCGUGCUGCAGCUAACGCAUUAAGUGCCCCGCCUGGGGAGUACGGCCGCAAGGCUAAAACUCAAAGGAAUUGACGGGGGCCCGCACAAGCGGCGGAGCAUGUGGGUUAAUUGGACGCAACGCGAAGAACCUUACCAAGGCUUGACAUACACCGGAAAACCCUGGAGACAGGGUCCCCCUUGUGGUCGGUGUACAGGUGGUGCAUGGCUGUC